Molecule: ribosomal RNA, 1470 nt
Filed under: metagenome
Description: bacterial SSU rRNA
Rfam family: Bacterial small subunit ribosomal RNA
Source: RNAcentral
AGAGUUUGAUCAUGGCUCAGGACGAACGCUGGCGGCACGCUUAACACAUGCAAGUCGAACGAGAGAAGAGGAGCUUGCUUUUCUGAUCUAGUGGCGGACGGGUGAGUAACACGUGAGCAAUCUGCCUUUCAGAGGGGGAUACCGAUUGGAAACGAUCGUUAAUACCGCAUAACAUAAUUGAACCGCAUGAUUUGAUUAUCAAAGAUUUAUCGCUGAAAGAUGAGCUCGCGUCUGAUUAGCUAGUUGGUAAGGUAACGGCUUACCAAGGCGACGAUCAGUAGCCGGACUGAGAGGUUGAUCGGCCACAUUGGGACUGAGACACGGCCCAGACUCCUACGGGAGGCAGCAGUGGGGAAUAUUGCACAAUGGAGGAAACUCUGAUGCAGCGAUGCCGCGUGAGGGAAGAAGGUUUUAGGAUUGUAAACCUCUGUCUUCAGGGACGAAAAAAGACGGUACCUGAGGAGGAAGCUCCGGCUAACUACGUGCCAGCAGCCGCGGUAAUACGUAGGGAGCGAGCGUUGUCCGGAAUUACUGGGUGUAAAGGGAGCGUCGGCGGGAUCGCAAGUCAGAUGUGAAAACUAUGGGCUUAACCCAUAAACUGCAUUUGAAACUGUGGUUCUUGAGUGAAGUAGAGGUAAGCGGAAUUCCUAGUGUAGCGGUGAAAUGCGUAGAUAUUAGGAGGAACAUCAGUGGCGAAGGCGGCUUACUGGGCUUUAACUGACGCUGAGGCUCGAAAGCGUGGGGAGCAAACAGGAUUAGAUACCCUGGUAGUCCACGCCGUAAACGAUGAUUACUAGGUGUGGGGGGACUGACCCCUUCCGUGCCGCAGCAAACGCAAUAAGUAAUCCACCUGGGGAGUACGACCGCAAGGUUGAAACUCAAAGGAAUUGACGGGGGCCCGCACAAGCAGUGGAGUAUGUGGAUUAAUUCGAAGCAACGCGAAGAACCUUACCAGGUCUUGACAUCGUAUGCAUAGCUCAGAGAUGAGUGAAAUCUCUUCGGAGACAUAUAGACAGGUGGUGCAUGGUUGUCGUCAGCUCGUGUCGUGAGAUGUUGGGUUAAGUCCCGCAACGAGCGCAACCCUUACUGUUAGUUGCUACGCAAGAGCACUCUAGCAGGACUGCCGUUGACAAAACGGAGGAAGGUGGGGAUGACGUCAAAUCAUCAUGCCCCUUAUGACCUGGGCCUCACACGUACUACAAUGGCUGUCAACAGAGGGAAGCAAAGCCGCGAGGUGGAGCGAACCCCUAAAAGCAGUCUUAGUUCGGAUUGUAGGCUGCAACCCGCCUACAUGAAGUCGGAAUUGCUAGUAAUCGCAGAUCAGCAUGCUGCGGUGAAUACGUUCCCGGGCCUUGUACACACCGCCCGUCACGCCAUGGGAGUCGGUAACACCCGAAGCCUGUAGUCUAACCGCAAGGAGGACGCAGUCGAAGGUGGGAUUGAUGACUGGGGUGAAGUCGUAACAAGGUA